AGUGCUGGGCUAUAAUUAAUGUUUUUAUUAAAUUUGGAGGGAAGUUUUUGCAGCCUUUCGCCUAGCGUGGCCUUCAGGUUGAUAGAAGUCCAGAUCCUGAGGAAAUCUCCAGCUAAAUGCUCAAAAUAUAAAAUACUGAGCUGAGAUUUGCGAAGAGCAGCAGCAUGGAUGGAUUUUAUGACCAGCAAGUGCCUUACAUGGUCACCAAUAGUCAGCGUGGGAGAAAUUGUAACGAGAAACCAACAAAUGUCAGGAAAAGAAAAUUCAUUAACAGAGAUCUGGCUCAUGAUUCAGAAGAACUCUUUCAAGAUCUAAGUCAAUUACAAGAAACAUGGCUUGCAGAAGCUCAGGUACCUGACAAUGAUGAGCAGUUUGUACCAGACUAUCAGGCUGAAAGUUACAUGUCUGGCUACUGACUAUUGUAUUGGUCAGCACAGCUUUGAACAGCGAUGUCUUCCACAUUGUUGUCUCCAGCCUGGUUCUUCCCUCCGAAGCUGUCUAUUGGACAUCCUCACCUGAUCCCUGCUAGUGUCCCUGUGCAGAUUAGAAAAAGGCAACAUCUCUGGACUCACUCCCUUAGCCCUUGGCUGUGCAUUGCACAAAACACCAUCUACA
RNAcentral lists this small RNA (615 nucleotides) under Pongo abelii (Sumatran orangutan). RNAcentral's name for it is "processed transcript". Lineage: Eukaryota; Metazoa; Chordata; Mammalia; Primates; Hominidae. The record is from RNAcentral.